Molecule: small RNA, 349 nt
Filed under: Vigna angularis var. angularis
Lineage: Eukaryota; Viridiplantae; Streptophyta; Magnoliopsida; Fabales; Fabaceae
Description: Non-protein coding transcript
Source: RNAcentral
GAAAGCGCCAAUCAGCAGCAACCUACUAAUGAGCUUGAAGACGAGCUUGAUAUGUUACAAGAAGAAAAUGACAAUUUGGUUGAAAAGGUUCGACUUGCAGAAGAGAAGUUUGAGGAAGCUGAAUCAAGAGUCAGGCAACUAGAACAACAGGUUGCUAAUCUUGGCGAAGGUGUAACUAUGGAGGCUCGCCUUUUGGCCAGGAAAGAGGCAGCACUGCAGCAAAGAGAGGCCGCUCUGAAAAAUGCACCAAAGAAUCUUGGUUUUCAAGCGUCGGAUGCUGAGGACGAGGCGACGGUUGCUUUGGAAAAGCUACGGCUUAUGACUCAACGAAUGAUACUCAACGCGGAAG